CCAUGCCGCCGUGAAGGAUGAAGGCUUCUGGGUUGUAACUUCUUUUAUCUGGGAAGAACCUCCGAUUUCUAUUGGAGUUGACGGUACCAGAGGAAUAAGCACCGGCUAACUCCGUGCCAGCAGCCGCGGUAAUACGGAGGGUGCAAGCGUUAUCCGGAUUUACUGGGUUUAAAGGGUGUGUAGGCGGGCUAUUAAGUCAGUGGUGAAAUCUCCGAGCUUAACUUGGAAACUGCCAUUGAUACUAUUAGUCUUGAAUUUUGUUGAGGUAGGCGGAAUAAGUCAUGUAGCGGUGAAAUGCAUAGAUAUGACUUAGAACACCAAUUGCGAAGGCAGCUUGCUAAACAAACAUUGACGCUGAGCACGAAAGCGUGGGGAUCAAACAGGAUUAGAUACCCUGGUAGUCCACGCCUAACGAUGAUUACUCGACAUACGCGAUANCNGNGUGUGUCUGANCGAAAGCUUAAAUAAUCCACUGGGAAGUACGACCNCAAGGU
Molecule: ribosomal RNA, 494 nt
Filed under: uncultured bacterium
Lineage: Bacteria
Description: bacterial SSU rRNA
Rfam family: Bacterial small subunit ribosomal RNA
Source: RNAcentral